GUCAGAGGCGAUGAAGGGCGUACUAAUCUGCGAUAAGCGCCGGUAAGGUGAUAUGAACCGUUAUAACCGGCGAUACCCGAAUGGGGAAACCCAGUGUGAUUCGUCACACUAUCAUUAACUGAAUCCAUAGGUUAAUGAGGCGAACCGGGGGAACUGAAACAUCUAAGUACCCCGAGGAAAAGAAAUCAACCGAGAUUCCCCCAGUAGCGGCGAGCGAACGGGGAGGAGCCCAGAGCCUGAAUCAGCAUGUGUGUUAGUGGAAGCGUCUGGAAAGGCGCGCGAUACAGGGUGACAGCCCCGUACACAAAAGCGCAUGUGCUGUGAGCUCGAUGAGUAGGGCGGGACACGUGGUAUCCUGUCUGAAUAUGGGGGGACCAUCCUCCAAGGCUAAAUACUCCUGACUGACCGAUAGUGAACCAGUACCGUGAGGGAAAGGCGAAAAGAACCCCGGCGAGGGGAGUGAAAAAGAACCUGAAACCGU
Molecule: ribosomal RNA, 481 nt
Filed under: Salmonella enterica subsp. enterica serovar Enteritidis
Lineage: Bacteria; Pseudomonadati; Pseudomonadota; Gammaproteobacteria; Enterobacterales; Enterobacteriaceae
Description: partial 23S ribosomal RNA
Rfam family: Bacterial large subunit ribosomal RNA
Source: RNAcentral